Molecule: ribosomal RNA, 497 nt
Filed under: uncultured bacterium
Lineage: Bacteria
Description: partial 16S ribosomal RNA
Rfam family: Bacterial small subunit ribosomal RNA
Source: RNAcentral
GAUGAACGCUGGCGGCGUGCCUAAUACAUGCAAGUCGAGCGAGCAGACGAGGAGCUUGCUCCUCUGACGUUAGCGGCGGACGGGUGAGUAACACGUGGAUAACCUACCUAUAAGACUGGGAUAACUUCGGGAAACCGGAGCUAAUACCGGAUAAUAUAUUGAACCGCAUGGUUCAAUAGUGAAAGACGGUUUUGCUGUCACUUAUAGAUGGAUCCGCGCCGCAUUAGCUAGUUGGUAAGGUAACGGCUUACCAAGGCAACGAUGCGUAGCCGACCUGAGAGGGUGAUCGGCCACACUGGAACUGAGACACGGUCCAGACUCCUACGGGAGGCAGCAGUAGGGAAUCUUCCGCAAUGGGCGAAAGCCUGACGGAGCAACGUCGCGUGAGUGAUGAAGGUCUUCGGAUCGUAAAACUCUGUUAUUAGGGAAGAACAAAUGUGUAAGUAACUAUGCACGUCUUGACGGUACCUAAUCAGAAAGCCACGGCUAACUACGUG